RNAcentral lists this ribosomal RNA (1589 nucleotides) under Triticum aestivum (bread wheat). RNAcentral's name for it is "partial small subunit ribosomal RNA". The record is from RNAcentral. Lineage: Eukaryota; Viridiplantae; Streptophyta; Magnoliopsida; Poales; Poaceae.
GUUGAUUGGGCCUUGAAGCUCAUCUCAGCUUCACGAAGGAAGAAUCGAUCAGGCACUGGUCAGCGACGUCUCUCCGUAAGCUCCCCUUGCUCCCCACUCUCGGCCUCCCCCACCCUAGCCGCACACUCUUCCUUCCCACUCUUGGCUUAACCUAGCCGCACGAGUGAAGGCGGAUCUAGCACCUUGGCAGUGGCAAUGAUGAAUCCUCCUCCUUCCAAGCAGCGUGGAUCAGUGCCAUGGCGACCUAGCGCGCUCCCUUCCCGACCUUGACCUCGAAGAACGGCUUCCCCAAGAUCGCUUUCCCGUUCGUGUAUGAUUUCCUUCUUCCAUCAAACAAUCACUCCUAAUGUCAUCUCAAUCUCAAUUUUGCAGAGGUGUUGCUAUAUUGGAUGUGGUGAAUUUAUUUGGGCAGAUCCUGGAGAUAGGGAGGGGGAGGUUGUGGCUGCGGGCAAUGGCAAACACAACCAACAGAGGCAUGGUGCUCUCCGCUGGUUCUACUCCCUGGUUGAACAAGCUCCUGAUCCAUGUUACAAGACAGGUGAAUAGCAAUGAAUUUCAGAGAUAAAGAUUGAGCUUUGAGGAAACAGGCCUUGACAAGGAUUGGCUGAAUUAUAGUCGUGAUUUUCUGCUUUUCAGAGCAUUUUGCUGCCGAAUUGAAUACUAUUUGGAAAUUUCUCAUAGUAAUAUUGUUUGUUCCACUCCUUUUAUUAUUCUAUGAAGAGGAAUAAAGAAUCAAAUUGUUGUUUACUUCAGCAAUGUCAUGCCCCUGUCGUCCGGCCUCCGCGCUGGUUUAAGGUGACUGCUUUUUACAAUCUGAAAGCGAAAAGGGAGCUAUACACAACCGCUCCAUAUAUUUUUGGAGAUACGGGAAGUAUCAAAGGUGAGGUGUAUUUCGUACAAGGUUUGAUGAGGACAUCAAUACAAUUGUUACACCCACAACUCCUGCUGCUAUAAAUACUGGACCAAUUACUAGAGCUCGCGCACGCCAACUAAAUUACCAGGUACUUUCGUUUCUUGGUAAUGAUUCUAAUGUUCAUGAGAAUAUGAUGCUGCCUAAAUUGGAUACAUUUGUUUUGUUUACAAAUGAAGGGCCUAGCUUGGAGAAGGAUGAACAUUGGAUUAAGAACAAGCAUGAAGAUGAUGGCAUGCGCAAGGGGAACAAGAACGGAGUUACAAGUGAUGAUUUCAGGACUUUGAAGCCACCAUAAUGGGUGCAUGAAGCCUUGGACGAAAUAUACAAGAUGCCACUUCAUAAAUUUCGUCCCGAGGCUAUUAUAGGUGCUGCGUCACCUUAUUAUUGGGCCAGGCCCAUGUAAUUUCGAAAUACAUAAGUAUAGGCUAUUUUUAGAGUCCGUAUGUGUGGGGAAACAAGAGAUAGGGUUGAUUUCGGACCCCUCCACCAAGGGUCACGAAAUUCCCCCCUCUUCCUCCAUAUAUACAGCCCUUAGGGCAUCGUUUAGACUUUGGGUUUUGUUUAGAUUAAAAGUUCGCCAUAGCUGCAACUUCGCAUACUUCGUUUGUGUUCAACGACCAGACAAAGGCGUCACAGAACCCCACCUUGAUCAAUAAAGUUUUCAUCUUAUAUUCGC